UACAGAGGGGGCAAGCGUUAUUCGGAAUUAUUGGGCGUAAAGGGCGCGUAGGCGGCUUCGCAAGUGACGGGUGAAAUCCCUCGGCUUAACCGAGGAACUGCCUGUCAAACUGCGUGGCUUGAGACCAGGAGAGGUGAGUGGAAUUCCCAGUGUAGCGGUGAAAUGCGUAGAUAUUGGGAGGAACACCAAUGGCGAAGGCAGCUCGCUGGGACGGUACUGACGCUGAGACGCGAAAGCGUGGGGAGCAAACAGG
This 253-nucleotide ribosomal RNA is filed under the name uncultured bacterium. RNAcentral describes it as "partial 16S ribosomal RNA". It matches the Rfam family "Bacterial small subunit ribosomal RNA", at positions 524 to 776 of the family's 1533-position model. The record is from RNAcentral.